UCAAUCGCUAACAACCGCUACCA
This 23-nucleotide non-coding RNA is filed under the name Arabidopsis thaliana (thale cress). Lineage: Eukaryota; Viridiplantae; Streptophyta; Magnoliopsida; Brassicales; Brassicaceae. The record is from RNAcentral.